Molecule: RNA transcript, 1002 nt
Organism: Ostrinia nubilalis (European corn borer)
Lineage: Eukaryota; Metazoa; Arthropoda; Insecta; Lepidoptera; Crambidae
Gene: Rbp1
Gene name: RNA-binding protein 1
Exons: 5
Source: RefSeq, a predicted model, not a curated record
AUCUCACUCACUCAAAAAAAAUCAUUCUUCGUUUGCGAUUGAGAGUGGUUAGCCGUGUGUUUUAUUUUUGUAAACGUAGUAAAAAUUUUCUGACCAUAUUUCAUCAGCAGUUUUUCAUUAGUGAUACUUCGGAUCACCAUACCGAAAAACAGGAGGAUGUCUCGCUAUAGAGAAUGGGAUUUGUCCUGCAAAGUUUACGUUGGCAACCUGGGUACAAAUGCUUCCAAAUAUGAGAUCGAAAAAGUGUUCUCAAAAUACGGUAACAUCAGGAAUGUGUGGGUUGCCCGAAACCCUCCUGGGUUCGCAUUUGUUGAGUUCGAAGAUCCUCGUGACGCCGAAGAUUCUGUACGAGGCUUAGAUGGAACACGUUGCUGUGGUACACGGAUCCGUGUUGAGAUGUCGAAUGGACGCACAAGGAGAGAUAGAAGGUCCAUUUUAUCAACCAACCACCAACACACCGACCUCACCACAUCUCUUCACCACAACUACGGCUCGUUUACCGAUAAGACAUCCGCGAACAACGCCGCUAGCAACAACUUCUUCAAAACGCUCUCCAAACUUCUCGGCGCAGCUGAGGCGACAACCAACUACGUCCUAUUUCUCCUCCCAACCGCCAUUACCUAGUCCUGACCCAGCGUUACCUGGACACGAUCCUUAAACCCGAGAGCCACAUAGGAUCAAUCACCUUGACCAUUGCAACCUUGAUGCUUCACCGACUGCACACCGAGGCACCGAGCCAACGACAACUUAACAACGGCCGACUCUCCCCGUGUUACCACAUUUUCUCUCGAAACUUCCGUUAAAGCCAACGUCUGAAGACAUUGAACUCCGCCUACAUUCAAGUUAAAAUCCCCUGGCCUCACAGCAGCCCCUCAACGGUCAACGACCUUCGCUGGCUCAUCAAGGCUCGGUCUCGCAGCCGAAGCCCCCGCCGCCGGUCGUACUCCAGAGGUCGUUCUGUGUCCCCGCGUCGGUCUCCUUCGGUCCGCCGCCGAUCCCCUU